Long non-coding RNA from Hyla sarda, 979 nucleotides. RefSeq lists it as uncharacterized. The record is from RefSeq and is a predicted model, not a curated record. NCBI's taxonomy places the organism in Eukaryota, Metazoa, Chordata, Amphibia, Anura, Hylidae. The transcript has 3 exons.
AAAGAAGCGAUCUGAUUGGUUGCUAUGGGCAACUGGACAACUUUUCCUCUGCACAGUGACCCCCCCGACCUACGAUGGCCCCGACAUACGAUCAUUUCAGCAUACGAUGGCCUCUCAGAGGCAGCAUCAACAUACGAUGCUUUUGUAUGUCGGGGCCAUCGCAUAAACGUCAUCCAAUAGGAGCGGCGUGCGUAAAAACAUGAUGGCGGCGACGGAGAGCGAGGAUGCCGGGGAAGCAGAGGCCUUGCCGGAGCGUCGGGGGCACCUCGGGGAUGCAACUACAGCGAUGGACGGCGACAUCCAGGGUAGCGGUGACGGUCCGGAGCGGCGGGAACAGGCACAACCUUACACAUUUUAGCCCAGUGUGGCCAUAAAUCAUCAGUAGUACGGAGGUCAAGAAAGGAAACUCUUCUGAUGUCAGGCACUGCGUUUCCCAAUGAAAAUGGAUUCCAAGAAAGAAGUGGUGUUUAAAUCCAAAGUGGACUUUGCAGUACAAUAAAAUAAUGAAAGGACCAAUGGCGCAUUUCUGGGCACACUCACCUCUUCAUCAGAUUAUAAAAAACAAGUGAUCAGUAACACUGAGAGAAGGAUGGACAUUCUCAAGGGUUUUAAUUCAAUUUGUAUGCAUACACCUUAGUGAGCCAUUGGAACACAAGUGACAGUUACUAAAUUUUGGGUCUUUUUAUAUUAAUUUCAUUUGUUUAUUCAAAAAUAUCUCCCUUAUUCCCACUUUAACACUCCGUCUAUUAGUAUUGUCCAAGUGAUGAAUGACCAUUUGUUUUGUUCUGCUUUAUAACACUAUGUACAAGUUUAUUCAUCCUUCCUGUUAUGUACUAGGACAUUGUAAAGACUGAACACAUCAUACGGCUGGUGCCAGGCACAGUAAUACUUCGCGGAUAAUAACUGGCUCUAAAAUGUGCCUGUAAUCAGUCGUAGUCAUCUAAUGUCUUAUACUUUCUUGCCAACGGGAAUGCCAACA